GAAAGGCUGCGCGGUCGCGCGGCUGGGAGUGAAAAAAACUUUUCUUACUCCCCAAUUUGA
Molecule: non-coding RNA, 60 nt
Filed under: unclassified sequences
Description: S4-Clostridia ribosomal protein leader
Rfam family: S4-Clostridia ribosomal protein leader
Source: RNAcentral